Non-coding RNA from Phascolarctos cinereus (koala), 437 nucleotides. Lineage: Eukaryota; Metazoa; Chordata; Mammalia; Diprotodontia; Phascolarctidae. The record is from RefSeq and is a predicted model, not a curated record.
AGAAAAACUCGUGGACAGCAUGGUCCACAGGGUCAUGAAGAGUUGGACAAGACUGAAUCAACUGAACAGCAACUUCCUGACGCCACGCCCAGCAAUCUAUCCACUGUGCCACCUAGCUGCCUUACUAUCCCCAUUUUACAGAUGAGGAAACAGAGUAAAUUAUUGCCCAAGAUCACACAAUGAGUUCUGGAGAUAAAAAGACCCAUACAAAAUAAGACUCUGGCCAACAAGCACCUUACAUCCUGUUGAGAGUCAAAGGUCCUCUACAGCAUGUAUACAGAGAGGUCUUUGGAAGAAUCUUGGUGGUUUACACAAAGAAGAAAAUGAUCUCUUUGGCUCCUUGCCCCUAUCUAGAGUUACUCUAGGAAAUUUUUCUGAUACAUUUGUGACAUAUCUAGGAAAACAACUGUUUGCCUCAGUUUCCUCAUCUGUAAAAU